This 224-nucleotide ribosomal RNA is filed under the name uncultured Staphylococcus sp. RNAcentral's name for it is "partial 16S ribosomal RNA". It matches the Rfam family "Bacterial small subunit ribosomal RNA", at positions 116 to 334 of the family's 1533-position model. Lineage: Bacteria; Bacillati; Bacillota; Bacilli; Caryophanales; Staphylococcaceae. The record is from RNAcentral.
CGUGGAUAACCUACCUAUAAGACUGGGAUAACUUCGGGAAACCGGAGCUAAUACCGGAUAAUAUUUUGAACCGCAUGGUUCAAAAGUGAAAGACGGUCUUGCUGUCACUUAUAGAUGGAUCCGCGCUGCAUUAGCUAGUUGGUAAGGUAACGGCUUACCAAGGCAACGAUGCAUAGCCGACCUGAGAGGGUGAUCGGCCACACUGGAACUGAGACACGGUCCAG